AGUGAACGCUGGCGGUAGGCCUAACACAUGCAAGUCGAACGGCAGCACAGGAGAGCUUGCUCUCUGGGUGGCGAGUGGCGGACGGGCGAGGAAUACAUCUGAAUCUACUCUGUCGUGGGGGAUAACGUAGGGAAACUUACGCUAAUACCGCAUACGACCUACGGGUGAAAGCAGGGGACCUUCGGGCCUUGCGCGAUUGAAUGAGCCGAUGUCGGAUUAGCUAGUUGGCGGGGUAAAGGCCCACCAAGGCGACGAUCCGUAGCUGGUCUGAGAGGAUGAUCAGCCACACUGGAAAUGAGACACGGUCCAGACUCCUACGGGAGGCAGCAGUGGGGAAUAUUGGACAAUGGGCGCAAGCCUGAUCCAGCCAUACCGCGUGGGUGAAGAAGGCCUUCGGGUUGUAAAGCCCUUUUGUUGGGAAAGAAAUCCAGCUGGCUAAUACCCGGUUGGGAUGACGGUACCCAAAGAAUAAGCACCGGCUAACUUCGUGCCAGCAGCCGCCGUAA
Molecule: ribosomal RNA, 506 nt
Filed under: uncultured bacterium
Lineage: Bacteria
Description: partial 16S ribosomal RNA
Rfam family: Bacterial small subunit ribosomal RNA
Source: RNAcentral